CACGUAGGGUGCGAGCGUUGUCCGGAAUUAUUGGGCGUAAAGAGCUCGUAGGCGGUGUGUCGCGUCGGCCGUGAAAACUCGGGGCUUAACUCCGGGCCUGCAGUGGGUACGGGCAGACUAGAGUGCGGUAGGGGAGACUGGAAUUCCUGGUGUAGCGGUGAAAUGCGCAGAUAUCAGGAGGAACACCGGUGGCGAAGGCGGGUCUCUGGGCCGUAACUGACGCUGAGGAGCGAAAGCGUGGGGAGCGAACAGG
This 253-nucleotide ribosomal RNA is filed under the name uncultured bacterium. RNAcentral describes it as "partial 16S ribosomal RNA". It matches the Rfam family "Bacterial small subunit ribosomal RNA", at positions 524 to 776 of the family's 1533-position model. The record is from RNAcentral.